This is a long non-coding RNA of Acinonyx jubatus (cheetah), 1753 nucleotides long. RefSeq lists it as uncharacterized. The transcript has 3 exons. The record is from RefSeq and is a predicted model, not a curated record. Lineage: Eukaryota; Metazoa; Chordata; Mammalia; Carnivora; Felidae.
UGAGGUUCCUCUUGGCGCUGAAGGAACAGGAGGGCAAAGGACUCCACCCCAACGUCAUCUGGUGGGGGGCGGUCUGCGUCUCAUGACAGAUUCAAGCCUUCCCACACGCCUGUGUUCUGUGAGAGGUAAGGCUGGGAUUUGGUGCAGAGAGUAAGCCAUGGAAUCUAGGCCCAGGCUGACGAAGAACACUUCCUACAGGUGCAGAGAACAACAACUGAGGUCCCGCAGGACGUUGCCCAGGCGACUUGGAGAAAGCCUCUGGCUACCUGAGAACUAGUGAGAGAAAGCAGCUAAGGGCUUCCGCAAGUUUUUAAAACCUCCAUUCAAGCCACUGUCAAGGAUGGCCUCACAGGUGUCUGCUGAGCCCCUGUCACAGGAUGAGAGGCACGUUUCUCCGGAGAGCUUCCCCCAGUGGCGAUUCUUGGGGAACAUGGCAAAGCCUCGCUUCAUACCCUGGUCCUGAAACUAAAGAAACCCAUUCUUGCCAGAUUCUACCUAGAGACGUAAAGGAAAGAAGUAUGACAUGGCCAUUGGAUGGGCAAACAGCAUGUUGUGCAAAAGUGCAUAGUUGCGGCAUGAGAGCCUUACUCAAAAGUAUCUCUAAAGAACAGCGUGAAAGAGAAAUCCUCCCAGCGGGCAGGACUCUGAGCCAUUCACCUGACUAUUCACUUUGCCUGGAAGGAGACGUGGCAAGUGGCAUGCAGCUAGGGUGAUUCCUGGGCAGUGGGUGGUGCUUUGGCUAGUGGUCCAGGACUUGGAACAAACAAGGUUAGAGCAUCAGUGACAAGAACGUCUGGGGGAUGAGAUAUGUGGAUGGACAACUCAGAAUAGGCACAGAGUAUGAAUAUAUUAGUGCCCAUCUGAAUGCUACACAAAGGACGCCUAUUGAAGAAGGGGCUUUCAACGAUCAUGUGGCAACAAAACAUGAAUGCCUAACCUGCCAACAGCAGAAACUAAAUUCACACUCCUGAUAUGGCUCCAUUUUUUGGAAGGGACGGCAAUUUGUCCUCGCUACAAUUCUUCUGACAGCACUGCCUCGUGUGGAUUUUUGAAGUGCCUCAUUUACCAUAAUGAAAUUCCACCCAGCAUCUCUUCUGACCAAGGACCCACUUUAGAAGGAAAUAAGUAUAGCAAUGAGUUUAUACCCGUGGAAUUCAUUGGCCUUAUACAUACCUAUAGGUAUACAAAUGUAAGUAUACAUAUACUUAAUUCAUUGGUCUUAUACAUACGUGUUUAUCACUCCAAAGAAGUUGACCUAAUAUAGCAAUAGAAUAGCCAAUUAAUAACUUGGUCAUAACACUGAUGGGUGAAAACACCUUUACAGACAGGGGUGAUAUUCUGCAAGGUGCAGAGCAUGCUGUGAACCAACAUGUAAUGUAUACAAUAUAAUACCUUCUCAUAGGCAAAAUACAUAGAUUGGGAGCCAAAGGGAAGAUGUGAUAGUAACUUCUAUCACUGUUGCUCCUAAUGAUUCAGUAACAAUUCAGGUUUGCCUCCAUUCUUGCAAUUUGGGCUCUAUUUUGGCAGUCUUAGUUCCCAAAAGAAGGCCUCUUUUUCCAGACACGUUACAAGACUUCCAUUGAAUUAAAAACUUAUACUCUACUUGGCCCUUGGGCUACUUAUGCUACUGAACCAAUAAGCAGAAAAGGGAUUACUAUCCUGCACUUGCUGAGAUGAUGAUCUGAUUACCAAGUGGAACUAGAGUUGCCAGCAUGUAAUGGAACACCAAAAAUAAACUGUAAUAUAAACUGUG